UACAGAGGUCCCAAGCGUUGUUCGGAAUCAUUGGGCGUAAAGCGGAUGUAGGUGGCUUUGUAAGUCAGGUGUGAAAGCCCCGGGCUCAACCCGGGAAGUGCAUUUGAUACUGCGAAGCUUGAAUGUUGGAGAGGCUACUAGAAUACCUGGUGUAGUGGUGAAAUACGUAGAUAUCAGGUGGAAUACCGGAGGCGAAGGCGGGUAGCCAGCCAAACAUUGACACUCAGAUCCGAAAGUGUGGGGAUCAAACAGG
This 253-nucleotide ribosomal RNA is filed under the name uncultured bacterium. RNAcentral's name for it is "partial 16S ribosomal RNA". It matches the Rfam family "Bacterial small subunit ribosomal RNA", at positions 524 to 776 of the family's 1533-position model. The record is from RNAcentral.